GAUGAACGCUGGCGGCGUGCCUAAUACAUGCAAGUCGAGCGAACUUACGAGGAGGUUGUUGCUCCGACCAUAGGAGGAAACGAGAGAGAAACGCGUGGCGAACGUGUCUGUAACACGUGGAUAACUUGCGGAAACGGCUGCGAUAACAGGAGGAUACAUUUAACCAUACGGGUCAACAACGCAAGACGGUUUUCUUGUGUUUAAUAGAUGGAUCUGCGCUCACUUUUGGAUGUAGCAGCGCAGCAUUAGCUAGUUGGUAAGGUAACGGCUUACCAAGGCAACGAUGCGUAGCCGACCUGAGAGACUGAUCGGCCACACUGGAACUGAGACACGGUCCAGACUCCUACGGGAGGCAGCAGUAGGGAAUCUUCCACAAUGGGCGCAAGCCUGAUGGAGCAACGCCGCGUGAGUGAUGAAGGGCUUCGGAUCGUAAAACUCUGUUAUUAGUGAAGAAAAAAAGUGUAAGUAACUAUGCACUUCUUGACGGUAAUUAAUCAGAAAGCCACGGCUAACUACGUG
Molecule: ribosomal RNA, 519 nt
Filed under: uncultured bacterium
Lineage: Bacteria
Description: partial 16S ribosomal RNA
Rfam family: Bacterial small subunit ribosomal RNA
Source: RNAcentral